RNAcentral lists this long non-coding RNA (271 nucleotides) under Elaeis guineensis (African oil palm). Its description in RNAcentral is "long non-coding RNA (EGUI_LNC062417)". The record is from RNAcentral. Lineage: Eukaryota; Viridiplantae; Streptophyta; Magnoliopsida; Arecales; Arecaceae.
UCCUUCUCUCUCUUUCCUCUCUCCUCUCCCUACCUUCUCUCUCUAUUUUCUCUCUCUAGAUUCUCUCCCUAUUUUCUCUCUCUGCUCUCUCUCUUGGAUUUUUUUAAGAUUUAUGGAUUUAAAAAAAUAAAUUAAAAAAUAAUAAUACUAAUAAAUCUUGGAUGUUGUCAUCUAGUCGAUCCAUGUGAGGACGUUAGAUUUUAGAAAUUUUUAUUAUUUUUAUUUGAUGAAAUUUUGAUCAAAAAUAUGAUAUCUGACAUACCAGGUCUGG